Nannospalax galili (Upper Galilee mountains blind mole rat) is the source of this 615-nucleotide long non-coding RNA. RefSeq lists it as uncharacterized. NCBI's taxonomy places the organism in Eukaryota, Metazoa, Chordata, Mammalia, Rodentia, Spalacidae. The transcript has 4 exons. The record is from RefSeq and is a predicted model, not a curated record.
UUGUCGCUUUUGAAUUUCCAUAGCAACUGCUCCUGUGUCACCCUAUUGCUCCCAAAGGUUUAAGCAGUUGCAUGUACAAAUUUACAUAUAUCUGCAUGUCAUUAACAUAGAGGCGGAGCCGGAACUUGUUUGGGCAACUAUCCCUGGACAGUUCCCUUCGCUUUGCUUUCAUCCGUCAGAUGACCACCUGGGCUGCGCAUGCGUGUAUUCCCUGCAUGAACCUCAGACUUCCUGGAUCUCCACAUCGCUCUGGAAAGGGUCUUAAAGAAAGUACUGAAGCUGACUUGUCCCAGCCAGUUAGACCUGCUGGCAAAUGCUAUAAGGCAGAGCUCUACCUCUGCAGUUCUGCCUGUGUUAGUGGCUGAACAGAUCGCUGCUGUUUCCUGGUCACUGUCUCUCGAUGUCCUGAAGGCACCUUGAUGCAGAUCCAGUGCCAGGAGCCAAGCCCUCUGAAUCUGUCACCUGAGGAAGCUGGUCUUGGGAAGAUCAACUCUAAUUCUGAAAUAAAUAGUUUUCUGCAGCUGGUCCUUGGUCUGUCCUCUGGGGGAGGAUAGGGCAGGGCUGAAACGGGUCCUGCACAACCUUGAAUAAAGGAGAGACAUGGAUUCUCUCUCU